GACGAACGCUGGCGGCGUGCUUAACACAUGCGAGUCGAACGGAAAGGCCAUGCUUUUGUGGGGUGCUCGAGUGGCGAACGGGUGAGUAACACGUGAGUAACCUGCCCUUGACUUUGGGAUAACUUCAGGAAACUGGGGCUAAUACCGGAUAGGAGCUCCUGCUGCAUGGUGGGGGUUGGAAAGUUUCGGCGGUUGGGGAUGGACUCGCGGCUUAUCAGCUUGUUGGUGGGGUAGUGGCUUACCAAGGCUUUGACGGGUAGCCGGCCUGAGAGGGUGACCGGCCACAUUGGGACUGAGAUACGGCCCAGACUCCUACGGGAGGCAGCAGUGGGGAAUAUUGCACAAUGGGCGGAAGCCUGAUGCAGCAACGCCGCGUGCGGGAUGACGGCCUUCGGGUUGUAAACCGCUUUCGCCUGUGACGAAGCGUGAGUGACGGUAAUGGGUAAAGAAGCACCGGCUAACUACGUG
Molecule: ribosomal RNA, 468 nt
Filed under: uncultured bacterium
Lineage: Bacteria
Description: partial 16S ribosomal RNA
Rfam family: Bacterial small subunit ribosomal RNA
Source: RNAcentral